Cornus florida is the source of this 1644-nucleotide long non-coding RNA. RefSeq lists it as uncharacterized. The transcript is spliced from 4 exons. NCBI's taxonomy places the organism in Eukaryota, Viridiplantae, Streptophyta, Magnoliopsida, Cornales, Cornaceae. The record is from RefSeq and is a predicted model, not a curated record.
ACCACCUAGCUUCUUUUCUUUCCGUUUCAUCGCUUAAAAACCCAUUUUCUAUAUAUCUUCAUCGCCGCUUCUUCCUUUCUGUGCCUUCCCAUCUUCAAACCCUAGUUUUCUUUCUCUGUCUAGGCAAGGCCCUAACCGAUCGAAGCCAGAACGAAGCCCACGCAGGAGGCUUCAUGGGUGAUCAAAAGCUCCUACUGGUUGCCAUUGAUGGCUUUGUGCCAAAGUUCAGUUUUGCCAGAAAGUAUCGUGUGUGCUUUGAUGACUUCUAGCUCAACCAGAGAUCUACUGCUAGAGAAGAUAGCAGUUGAUCUUUGACUUGCUAUUUAUUGUGACUUCCUGAUGAAAUAAAACUGAAGAUCGUUGAGUUAUUUGAUGUGUAGAUCUUGCAAAGGUCGGGUGCAUUUGUUUGGAAUUUAGAAGUUUGACAUCAGAUGAAUGUUUGUGAAAGCACAAGUUCUCCUGGAGUUCGAUGAUAAGGUGAGGGACGUGCUGAAGGAGAGACCCUCUGGAAGCAUAAGUUUGAGGAGGCUUGGAGAGAGAAGUUCCAUUGGAUGAGAUAAGUAGUUUCAAAAGAGGCAUGAUACAAUCCUUUGAAUUCGGAGCACUACCAAAAUUUCGUGUUGAAGAAUCUGGGCAUUCAUUAUUAAAUCUAUAUCCAAACCCAAAUCCAAUUUGGUUCUGGUGUAAGUGGCCAAAAGCCCAAGGCCCUAACCGAUUGAAGUGCAUAGGAAAUCGCUUUCUGACAAAAUUACAGAGGCUUCAUGGGUGAUCAAAAGCUCCUGGUGGUUGCCAUUGAUGGCAUUGUGCCUAAGUUUAUUUUUGCCAGAGAUGGUUUUCAAGUCACAUUGGACACUACCAUCCAUGAUUUAAUCAGUUCCAAUUAUUGUUUUGCAUUUGAGGUGAGAAGUAGCGAUUAUUAUGAUGCAAAAGAAGGCAACAAGGUUGCUUUUUUGAAGUUUCAAUCUUCUAGAAAAUAUGCUUUUACUUAUGGAUGGGUUAUCGCGAACAAUGAUGUAAAGUACUUUGAUGAGUUCGAGCUCAACCUAAUAUCUGCCUUGCCUCUGUUGGAACUACUAAUCUCAUGGAAUGGAACUUCUUCACUCUCCAGCCUCAGCAAACUUGUGCUUCUAGAGGCUCUCUCCUUCAGCAUGCUCCCUCACCUUCUCACUGAACUCCAGGAGAAACUUGUGCUUCCACAAACAUUCAUCCGAUGUCAAAUUUCUAAAUUCUGAACAAAUGCACCCGAGCUUUGCAAGAUCUACACCAUCGAGUGACCCAACGAUCUUCAGUUUUAUUUCAUCAGGAAGGCACCACAGAGCAAGUCAAAGAUCUAAUGUUAUCUUUUGUAAUUCAAGUUACUCGUAAUUUCGUGUUGAGAAUCUGUGAGCACUGCUAUCAUCUCUUAUCAUCAAACUCAAUGUCUACUUGGUGGUGGUGAUCUAGUUUUUUGUCCAUCCUUCUAUCCAUAUAGUUAAACAUCAUGGCUAUAAAUGUAGUUUCUUAUUUAUUAUAUGUAUAUAUUUGGGGGAGAUUUUACAAGAUUUAUAUCCCAAAAUUUGGAAUGUUUGGUCUAGCACAAGGAACCUCAUAGAAUUGGCCAUACCUUUAUAGAAUUAAAUGUUACCCGUAGAAACUUACUUUGAA